Molecule: long non-coding RNA, 3714 nt
Filed under: Homo sapiens (human)
Lineage: Eukaryota; Metazoa; Chordata; Mammalia; Primates; Hominidae
Description: HSALNT0034848
Source: RNAcentral
CUAGGGCUGAAAUUGAGAAACUCCGCUCCACAUGAACCACAAAUAAAAGGAAGAAAUUCAGGAGACGACCCACAGACCCUCUGAAGGAAGUGGACUGCUCCUGCAGGACCCGGGAGACACCACAAAUACAGUGAGUGCCCAACUGUGGAAGUGGGAAAGGGAGACCCUCCUCUCCUGAACACACGGCCCCACAGGGGAGGCUGAAGGUCUGUUUGCGGAUAAGUUUCCGACCUUACCUGGAGCUGAGCCAAUUUUGAGAGCUGAAAUGCAGGGGUAGAGGAAGCAGCAGAAACGCCCUGGGAGCUCGCUAUGUCCCCUUGCUAGGGACAUUCCUUCCUGGCACCACAGAGAUCCAUCAGGGGACACAAGAGGCGAUUUCAAGAAACACUAAUAGGAUUGUGAGAAAGUUGGCCAAGGAAGAGGAACAGCCAAUAAACGGUGACUUGUCAAGACAGUUAGGACCCUGGGAGCUAAAUCUGCCUGGAGAACUCUGGAAAUCAGUGUGGAACACAUACUUCAGCAUCAUCUCAGCUAAUGGACAAGUAAGAUGGAGUACUGCUGGGUGGCCAGGCUGGAGUGCAGUGGUGCGAUCUCGGCUCACUGCAAUCUCUGCCUCCUGGGUUCAAGUGAUUCCUCUCCCUCAGCCUACCGAGUAGCUGGGACUACAGGUGUGCACCAUCACGCCCGGCUAAUUUUUUGUCUUUUAGUAGAGACAGGGUUUCACCAUGUUGGCCAGGAUGGAGUCAAUCUCCUGACCUCAACGAUCUGCCCGCCUCGGCCUCCCAAAGUGCUGGGAUUACAGGCGUGAGCCACCGCUCCCAGCUUAAUAAACUUUCUUAACUCUCACAGCUUCCCUUCCAGUCUUACAUAGCUUGUUUCACAUAAGAGUUACCUAGCUAAAGCAACUCAUUUCUUUAAGUGCUGAGCAUUUCCUCCUGUAUAAUCUCUACUUGGGGCUGCUUACCGGUUCUACUCUAGUUUCUACACAUUGUCAUGAGAUGGGAUAGUUCCCUUGACCCCCUUCACAGGCAUUUCACCCCCUUCAAUCAUUUCACUUAGCUUGAUGCUGGCCACUUCUCGCGAGAGGGAGCCUGUGAGCAAAUGAGUGUGUGAACCAAGUGAACAAACUCUGGAACUGAAGUGAACGAAUGCUGAAACCAGCCGGUCGCACCUCUCUGGUGGGAGCAGGCUUUGUGCAGGGCCCGCAGCAGCGUCCAAGAGAGUUACAACCAAUGGUCUUUCAGCUCUGCCGUCUGGGGACGGCCAAGUGCCAACCACCUCAGGGGAGGGUCAGGGUGGCAGCCCCUGCCCUCCCGACACCCAGGUUCUUGUCCAGCAUCCAGGAAGAAUCAGGUCACACGAACUGUUUGAAAGGUGAUGAAUGCGGAAGACUUUAUUUAGCGGCACUUCAGGAAUAUACACAGAAAAUGAAAGCCCAUUGUUUGAACAGAUUUCAUUAAACGAGAGCUCUACUUUAAGAAGAAGAAAAAAAUUGUAGACUACCAGAUGUUAUGGAUCUACAGGUAUUCCUAAGACCACUCCCUUAUGGGGAUCUUGUAUGCAAAUCUUUAUCACUGAGUCCGCCUGUUGGUGUUAGAAGAGGUCUGAGAAAACAGACCUAAAAGAGGACUCUAGAGCUGGAUCACCAGCUGUUCAGUGGACACGGAAAACCUUAUCACUAAUGACAUAGGAAAAUGAACGAGGCACAUUAACUCAAAGAUUUUGGACUUAUAUCUGCGCAGAAUUAUUGUUAUCUCCUUGAGAAUAUAAGCAGACUGCAUGGUAAGUUCCAGAUGGGAUUCCUCUGAAGUCCAGGUAAAUGAACUCAAGCGUAUCCUUCAUCCCAGUUCUGUGAUGAAAGCCUGCUGUUCCUUGGGAAGGCAAGAGGAGGAAUUUGAAUGGCAUCUUUGUUGGUGGAAGAGAGGGGAUGAUAAGAGUGCUUGUACAUGAUUCUUUGGGCUAGAUUAAAGGUCAUGUGGAAUCAUAUGGAUGAAGAAAUUUUCCUGCCAAAUUAGCUCCUCCAGGUUGUUCCACACCCUUGGGUAAAUGGAAGAGGAAAUUAGGACAGUGUAGCAACAGUGUAAAAUCAGAUGAAGAAGUUAGUCAUCUACAAACCAAGGAGAAAGCCCCCAGAAGAAACCAAGCCUGCUGACGCCUUCAACUCCAACGGCAGCCUCUAGAAUUGCCAGAUACAUUUCUGCUGUUUAAACUACUCGUUCUCUGUGGUACUUCAUUAUGGCAAACUUAGCAAACUGGUACACUGAUUUAAAGCAGAGGCAGACUAAAUCUCAGGUAUCUACAAUCCUUGCUCAAAUUUUAUUUUUAAAAAUAUUCUCUAAUUAAGGAAAUAAGUUACAAAACAAAUAGGAAAGCAGUUAGCAAUUACAGAGUGAAGAAAAUACUCUGAAGGAAAUAUUAUUUUAGGAUGACAUCAAGUCAGAUGCUACAGUUUAGCCAAUGUAGAUGUUAACUAAUAAAUGUAAAUGUUCAUAGUUGAUCCAGGUCAUGAAACUUGCCUAGCAAAAACAAAAUAUUAUUUGAAUUCUGGACUAUCUGAGUAGAAUUGCAUUGCAAAAAAAUUGUAUGCUGUCAAUAGGGACAGCAGUGUGAAAGAAAGCAAAACCUAGAAGUUAUCAGAGAGCCAAUCAUGAGUCCUAUGAAAUGGCUAAUCCUAAAUUGUCACAUCAGGAUCAUGAGUUUGGUGUUCAGUGAGUUUCUUAUAAAAUUGUAAUAAUAAAACUUGAGCCAAUGUGUGCUUCUGCAUUCAAAGCUACAAUUAGAGUUCUACUCUCCAAAUGCACUUCUGCAAAUAACCUCUCAUUCAUAAGCCUUCCAUGACCUUUAUGUUUGAAAUUAAGUCUUUUUAUAGCUUUUUUCUUGCUUUAAGUGCCAUUCAGCUUAAAUAAAGUCAAACAUUUAAAAAUAAUGGAUUUCAUCUCACAAGCUGCUGUAGUCACUUAAUUCACUCACUAAUUCAGUGACAUUCUCAUAAAAAUAACUUAUUUUGAUAUUUUAGUGUAUAUAAAUACUGCAGCUGACUAAUGCCUACUAAAAACACAUUUUCUGGGAUACCAAAAAAAUAUGUAUCAUUAUUUUAGGCUUUAAAUGGCAUAUAAAUGACACAAAUAAAUGGUUUUAUUUAGAUAUAGUGACAUAGCUAUAUUAGAUAAAGUGACAUAGCUCACAAACAAAAGUUUGUGAGUUUGCGUAACCUAUGUAAUUUGUGCAGUAUCGAUUUCUAAAAUUCAGCUGUAGAACUUGGUACUAUACUUAGAUUUGCUUUCUGUAUUGAUAAAUAUUGAAAUUGCAAUUCUCACUUAGCAUUUGAAAUAAAAAUGAUCCCGAAGGUUCUAUAAUGGUUGCUUGAGCUCCUCCCUCUCAAAUCUGUGUGCACUGUGCUGGGAAUUCACACUUAGAUAUUAUGGAGAAUCAAUUUGUAAGGGAGUAGUCUUUAUUUCACUUCAAUGAACUAAUUUUAUUUUAAAUGAAUGUAUUAGAAAAUUUGCUCAGAAAGUACUGAUAUAUAUUACAUUAUGAAAAAGAAUAUAUUAAAUCAGCACUCUGUGUCUAGCUCAGGGUUUGUAAAUACACCAAUCGACACUCUGUAUCUAGCUAAUCUAGUGGGGACGUGGAGAACUUUUGUGUCUAGCUCAGGGAUUGUAAAUGCACCAAUCAGCACCCUGUCAAAACAGACCAAUCAGUUCUCUAUAAAAC